Molecule: ribosomal RNA, 497 nt
Filed under: uncultured bacterium
Lineage: Bacteria
Description: partial 16S ribosomal RNA
Rfam family: Bacterial small subunit ribosomal RNA
Source: RNAcentral
GAUGAACGCUGGCGGCGUGCCUAAUACAUGCAAGUCGAGCGAACAGACGAGGAGCUUGCUCCUCUGACGUUAGCGGCGGACGGGUGAGUAACACGUGGAUAACCUACCUAUAAGACUGGGAUAACUUCGGGAAACCGGAGCUAAUACCGGAUAAUAUAUUGAACCGCAUGGUUCAAUAGUGAAAGACGGUUUUGCUGUCACUUAUAGAUGGAUCCGCGCCGCAUUAGCUAGUUGGUAAGGUAACGGCUUACCAAGGCGACGAUGCGUAGCCGACGUGAGAGGGUGAUCGGCCACACGGGAACUGAGACACGGUCCAGACUCCUACGGGAGGCAGCAGUAGGGAAUCGUCCGCAAUGGGCGAAAGCCUGACGGAGCAACGCCGCGUGAGUGAUGAAGGUCUUCGGAUCGUAAAACUCUGUUAUUAGGGAAGAACAAAUGUGUAAGUAACUAUGCACGUCUUGACGGUACCUGAUCAGAAAGCCACGGCUAACUACGUG